Molecule: ribosomal RNA, 117 nt
Filed under: uncultured bacterium
Lineage: Bacteria
Description: partial 16S ribosomal RNA
Source: RNAcentral
UCACUUUAUUCCCUUAUAAAAGAAGUUUACAACCCAUAGGGCAGUCAUCCUUCACGCUACUUGGCUGGUUCAGGCUUACGCCCAUUGACCAAUAUUCCUCACUGCUGCCUCCCGUAG